UGGAAGUGGUCGUAAACUGACUGGUGUCU
RNAcentral lists this non-coding RNA (29 nucleotides) under Homo sapiens (human). Lineage: Eukaryota; Metazoa; Chordata; Mammalia; Primates; Hominidae. The record is from RNAcentral.